GAACCACGUAUUUGACGAUUAGUGGACUGUGUGCGUGGUUAUUGGUCGAUUAGAGGGUGUACUACGGGCUUUAGUCUGACUACCUGCGAGAAUCAGGAAGGCACUGUUUUCCGUGCAUGGGUAGCUUUCCACACAACCCUAAACUGUACGAUUCAUUUACCUACGAUAAACAAAACCUUGCCGGCUUUCCCGGUAGAUUAUUCAUUUUCUUGCUUCAUCGUGCUAGAAACAGUCGUGCUUGGAGUUUGCUCAUCAAAAAUAGCAUCAAUGGCUCCAUUAGGUUUCAAAGUGCCUUGCGAAUAUUCCUCCGAAGAUGGAACGUAGCGUUUCAUCGGACAGGAAUAUCUCGCAGAGGCAAUAUCACGUUUCGAAAACACUUUGUUGUACGUUUUUAUCGGAAAGGGCAGAGAAGAUGUGAAAGAUGAGAUGAUGUAUAUAAACGAUUUAUAUGGAAGGUUUUGCUAUAUAAAGAUUGAACAUAAACAUCUCAAUUUAAUAUGAUUGGAUAAAUAAAUUAGUAGAAUUAAAA
This is a long non-coding RNA of Armigeres subalbatus, 529 nucleotides long. RefSeq lists it as uncharacterized. NCBI's taxonomy places the organism in Eukaryota, Metazoa, Arthropoda, Insecta, Diptera, Culicidae. The record is from RefSeq and is a predicted model, not a curated record. The transcript has 2 exons.